This 286-nucleotide ribosomal RNA is filed under the name Clostridioides difficile. RNAcentral's name for it is "partial 23S ribosomal RNA". It matches the Rfam family "Bacterial large subunit ribosomal RNA", at positions 2559 to 2847 of the family's 2925-position model. The record is from RNAcentral. Lineage: Bacteria; Bacillati; Bacillota; Clostridia; Peptostreptococcales; Peptostreptococcaceae.
UAGGUCCCAAGGGUUGGGCUGUUCGCCCAUUAAAGUGGUACGCGAGCUGGGUUCAGAACGUCGUGAGACAGUUCGGUCCCUAUCCGUCGCAGGCGUAGGAAAUUUGAGAAGACCUGUCCUUAGUACGAGCGGACCGGGAUGGACGUACCUCUGGUGUACCAGUUGUUCUGCCAAGGGCAUGGCUGGGUAGCUAUGUACGGAAUGGAUAAGCGCUGAAAGCAUCUAAGCGCGAAGCCAACUUCAAGAUAAGAUUUCCCACCGCAAGGGUAAGACCCCAGAAAGACUA